AUUGAACGCUGGCGGCAGGCCUAACACAUGCAAGUCGAGCGAGCGGCGGACGGGUGAGUAAUGCCUGGGAAUUGCCCAGUCGAGGGGGAUAACAGUUGGAAACGACUGCUAAUACCGCAUCAGAUUGGAUUGCCCAGGUGGGAUUAGCUAGUUGGUGAGGUAAUGGCUCACCAAGGCGACGAUCCCUAGCUGGUCUGAGAGGAUGAUCAGCCACACGGGAACUGAGACACGGUCCAGACUCCUCCGGGAGUCAGCAGUGGGGAAUAGUUCACAAUGGGGGAAACGCUGAUGCAGCCAAGCCGCGGGUGUGAAGAAGGCUUUCGGGUUGUAAAGCACUUUCAGCGAUGAGGCGUUACGCGCAGAAGAAGCACCGGCUAACUCCGUGCCAGCAGCCGCGGUAAUAC
This 404-nucleotide ribosomal RNA is filed under the name uncultured bacterium. RNAcentral describes it as "partial 16S ribosomal RNA". It matches the Rfam family "Bacterial small subunit ribosomal RNA", at positions 30 to 526 of the family's 1533-position model. The record is from RNAcentral.